This 319-nucleotide ribosomal RNA is filed under the name uncultured eukaryote. RNAcentral's name for it is "partial 18S ribosomal RNA". It matches the Rfam family "Eukaryotic small subunit ribosomal RNA", at positions 1470 to 1796 of the family's 1831-position model. The record is from RNAcentral.
CCCUUAGAUGUUCUGGGCUGCACGCGUGCUACAAUGGCGUUUCCAGCAAGUCUGCGAACCCGAGAGGGCCAGCGGAUCUUCGAAUUGGCGUCGUGAUCGGGACAGUCGAUUGCAAUUAUUUGACUCAAACGAGGGAUUCCUUGUAAUCGCGAUUCAUCAUAUCGCGCUGAAUACGUCCCUGCCCUUUGUACACACCGCCCGUCGCUCCUACCGAUUGAGCGAUCCGGUAAAUGUUUUGGAUUGGUGCCGGGGCGGCUAGCUGCCGGUCGCUACGAAAUUUUGUGAACCUUAUCGCUUAGAGGAAGGAAAAGUCGUAACA